Molecule: long non-coding RNA, 880 nt
Organism: Episyrphus balteatus (marmalade hoverfly)
Lineage: Eukaryota; Metazoa; Arthropoda; Insecta; Diptera; Syrphidae
Exons: 3
Source: RefSeq, a predicted model, not a curated record
CUGUAAUUCUGGAUGAAGGCGGUUAACAAUAACAUGAUUUUUUUUUUGCAUUGUUCAAGGAUUUGUAAGACGGUAACAUCGCGGGAAGAGUUUUUAGAGAGACAAUCUCCCAACAGCUUCGACCUUCUCACCCAUAGAUCUUAAUCCUUGAACAACAUUCCUGAUAAGGUUUUAAUGACUCCCGGUCAAAUAAACUGAUUUUCCACUUAAACAUUUGAUGAAUAAAUUGAACAAAUCCUUUUUUUACAGUAAGAAGUUCUUGGAAACUUUUAAUUUCAUAUCGGAUUUAUUCAAUGGCACAACAUACAGAACAUCACGUUGCAACAGAAAUUUCGCUUCCAUUGAUUACAGAAAGAACAACACUUCAAUGAACUUGAACAAUGUACUAAUAGGAAAAGUUUUAACACAUUUUAUUAGUUGGUUGGUAAUGAACAGGAUGUGUGAACUUUUGAUGAGUACACACUUCUUGUACUUUUCUAUCAGUGAACUACACAAAUGUAUCCUCCAUAACCACGGUCACGGCCACCAUAAUUCACAUAAUGUUCAAAUAACUGAAAGUGACAUCUAAUUUAGUUUUAUAGAAAUUCAUCAUCCAAUUACUUUUUUUAUUACUAAAAGAAAUAAUAAUUUCACUGAAUAAUUCUUAAUCUUCUCUUUAAAGUUCUUAAUAUAAUUUUAAUUGAAUUAAAAGUAAACUCAUCAACGUACCAAACUGCAGGGAGCUUCCUUCGGGGAAUUGCAAAUAGCGACGUUUCCGGUAAAGUAAUGUUUCCUGUGAAUUUUGCUUUGUAUCUUCAAUGGUUCUGUUUAAAGACUUGUAUUCAUCCAAAUGACUUUGUGAACUAGUAACAUUUUGUUGUGCAAUUUGAUGGAGCUCUAU